Oreochromis niloticus (Nile tilapia) is the source of this 1477-nucleotide long non-coding RNA. RefSeq lists it as uncharacterized. The transcript is spliced from 2 exons. The record is from RefSeq and is a predicted model, not a curated record. Lineage: Eukaryota; Metazoa; Chordata; Actinopteri; Cichliformes; Cichlidae.
CUCUUUUUGUUGCUUUUUCGUCUGCUUAUCAUCCACUGCUAAUCUCUCAUGUCUCAGUUGCCUUGGGCAGGAAAAGCAAGAGAAGAAAGAGAUAUGCUUAAUACAAAAGAAAAAAGAUCAUGCACCAAUGUACUAUUACUGUGGUAAAGUGGUGCUGCUGUGUGAUGUGUUGUGACAAGACUGAUUAAAAGUGGCCAAGAAUAGACACAAGUGAGGGGGUGGAGAAGGAACGAGAAGAUUGUCUUAUAGAAACCACGAGAAGUUUAAUUCACAGAAAGUCAUCUCAGCGUGCAGUACGAUGGAAUAAUAACAACUGGAAACAGGCACAAUAAUAAAUCAUAAAUAAAUAACAUAUGUUACAGCAAAGAAACAUAUUAACAAAUAAUUGCAAAUAAUAGGAACUGUUUGGGGAAUUAUUCAAGCUAAAAUCAAAUGCUCAGAUGUGUCACCAUGAACCCACUCAGCUAGUCACAGCCUCUCUCAAGCGAGCGAAUUCAAAGAAUACUACCAAAUUUAGCCAGUUAGCUCCUGUUACCUGGAGCAACUGCAGCAAAAUAAAGAUUGCUGCUGCAGGUAAAAUACACAGAAAAUAGUGAAAAGAUUUUUAUUCUGAUUAUUUGUCUAUUUAAGUCAAGUCUAAAAUGUUCCUUUUUUUCUUGCUGCAUGAACUCUGAUAUGGCUUAUGAUGAGGCUGAAAAGUUAAACCGGUGUUGGAGUUCCUUUAACCUGCAGUCUUUUUUAUCGCCACUAGGGGACAACUCCACUGGUUACAACAACAUGUCCAGUUAAGAGACUACGAAGAAAAGGCAUCAUGUUCCCUUUUCUAUGUCUUCAAUAAAAAUUCUCUUGGAGAGAUUAUGGCUACAACCAGUUGUUUCAGGUCUUACUGAAAAAACAUGAUGCUCAUUUUGUAAAUUGUUGUUGCCAUCAGAGCCAAACUGACAAGUCACCCAACGGCAUCCUCACCUGUCACGUUUACUUCCAUAACCUCUGCGUGGCAGUGGAGGGAAACGAUCAACCUCACUAACGAAAGGAUGAUGUCAUAGUUGGUAUAGCCAUCUUUUUUAUACAGUCUAUGGAGAUUUAAAAAAACAGUUUUGGUCUAAUUUCACUGUUCCUAAAUGUGACGGGGUGAAAUUUAUACUUAAAGUUAUGCAUAAUGAAGGGAAGGCUGUUCAGUCUGGUUCAGCAAAAACAUUUUAUAUUUCUCUGUCGGUUUUAUGUUUCCCAUCAAAGACAAUUUAAGGUGCAUGUUUGGAAGUCACUAAUGUCACAGUGAUUAAUGUGAUUCGAACACACAUGAAAUUCUGUUAAUUAAAGAUAUCCAUGUGAAAUAACAUCUUAGAAUCAGGGAGUUUUGUUUUGCUGACUUCUUGAAAUACGAUAAACCUGCUGGCUGAAAUGCAAUACAGAAAUGUAAGAUGAUAAUAAUUAAUGAAUGUGGGAUGUGAAAUUUCACUGAUGAAGCCUCAAUUGG